GACGUAGGGCGCGAGCGUUGUCCGGAUUUAUUGGGCGUAAAGAGCUCGUAGGCGGCUUGUCGCGUCGACUGUGAAAACCCGGGGCUCAACUCCGGGCCUGCAGUCGAUACGGGCUGGCUUGAGUGCGGUAGGGGAGACUGGAAUUCCUAGUGUAGCGGUGAAAUGCGCAGAUAUCAGGAGGAACACCGGUGGCGAAGGCGGGUCUCUGGGCCGUAACUGACGCUGAGGAGCGAAAGCGUGGGGAGCGAACAGG
Molecule: ribosomal RNA, 253 nt
Filed under: uncultured bacterium
Lineage: Bacteria
Description: partial 16S ribosomal RNA
Rfam family: Bacterial small subunit ribosomal RNA
Source: RNAcentral